Molecule: unclassified non-coding RNA, 242 nt
Filed under: Hyphodiscus sp.
Lineage: Eukaryota; Fungi; Ascomycota; Leotiomycetes; Helotiales; Hyphodiscaceae
Also listed under: 4 other names
Description: partial contains 5.8S ribosomal RNA, internal transcribed spacer 2, and large subunit ribosomal RNA
Source: RNAcentral
AACGCACAUUGCGCCCCUUGGUAUUCCGGGGGGCAUGCCUGUUCGAGCGUCAUUACAACCCUCAAGCCUGGCUUGGUAUUGGGCUUCGCCACUAACCUGGCGGGCCUUAAAAUCAGUGGCGGUGCCUCCGAGGCCCUGAGCGCAGUAAAUAUCCUCGCUAUAGGGACCCGGUGGUUACUGGCCAGCAACCCCAACUUUCUAAGUUUGACCUCGGAUCAGGUAGGGAUACCCGCUGAACUUAA